This 303-nucleotide ribosomal RNA is filed under the name Clostridioides difficile. RNAcentral's name for it is "partial 23S ribosomal RNA". It matches the Rfam family "Bacterial large subunit ribosomal RNA", at positions 335 to 640 of the family's 2925-position model. Lineage: Bacteria; Bacillati; Bacillota; Clostridia; Peptostreptococcales; Peptostreptococcaceae. The record is from RNAcentral.
GAAGAGGUUUGGAAAGACCCACCACAGAAGGUAAUAGUCCUGUAUGUUAAACGAGAAGACUUUAGAUAUGAUCCAGAGUACCACGGGACACGUGAAACCCUGUGGGAAGCAGGAGGGACCACCCUCCAAGGCUAAAUACUACCUAGUGACCGAUAGCGUAUAGUACCGUGAGGGAAAGGUGAAAAGAACCCCGGGAGGGGAGUGAAAUAGAACCUGAAACCCUGCACUUACAAGCUGUGGAAGCACAUUUCUUGUGUGACCGCGUACUUUUUGUAGAACGGGCCAACGAGUUACGUUAAGUAG